AAUCUUCCGCAAUGGACGAAAGUCUGACGGAGCAACGCCGCGUGAGCGAAGAAGGCCUNCGGGUCNUNAUGCUCUGCUGUUAGGGNCGAACAAGUAUCGUUCGAAUAGGGCGGUACCUUGACGGUACCUAACCAGAAAGCCACGGCUAACUACGUGCCAGCAGCCGCGGUAAUACGUAGGUGGCAAGCGUUAUCCGGCAUUAUUGGGCGUAAAGCGCGCGCAGGCGGUCCUUUAAGUCAGAUGUGAAAGCCCACGGCUCAACCGUGGAGGGUCAUUGGAAACUGGGGGACUUGAGUGCAGAAGAGGAGAGCGGAAUUCCACGUGUAGCGGUGAAAUGCGUAGGGAUGUGGAGGAACACCAGUGGCGAAGGCGGCUCUCUGGUCUGUAACUGACGCUGGGGCGCGAAAGCGUGGGGAGCGAACA
This 423-nucleotide ribosomal RNA is filed under the name uncultured bacterium. Its description in RNAcentral is "partial 16S ribosomal RNA". It matches the Rfam family "Bacterial small subunit ribosomal RNA", at positions 360 to 774 of the family's 1533-position model. The record is from RNAcentral.